GUCAAUACUAAAACUUAAUUAAAAAUGAAAUGUUUUUGUUGUUUAAAUCUUAAAAGAUUUCAUUGACUAAUAAUUUCAUUAUCACCUGGAUCUUUCACAGUAACCAAGGGAAAAUUAACAUAAAGAUACAAAGUUUUAUGCACUAGAUGCGCAUGUCGACUAUAAAUGUUACUGCAAUGAUGCUCGAGGCCUAUAUUCCAAGAUCUCCUUUAAAGUUAAUUUCAAAAUAAUAAAAAUCAAAUUUGAACUGUUUUUUCACUGUCAUUCACACAUUUAGGUAAUAAUAAAAAGUAUGGUGAAGUAAUACGUCACUUAUCAAACGGAAAUAACAAAAAUUUAAAAUCUUAAGGUAAAAAAGUCUUAAUUGCUCGUCCUUGGCAAAUGUCAAAAUGAUCGAAAUAUGAUGUAAUUUUUUAAGGAAAAC
This 424-nucleotide long non-coding RNA is filed under the name Mytilus galloprovincialis (Mediterranean mussel). The record is from RNAcentral. Lineage: Eukaryota; Metazoa; Mollusca; Bivalvia; Mytilida; Mytilidae.